This 557-nucleotide long non-coding RNA is filed under the name Bos taurus (domestic cattle). RNAcentral's name for it is "long non-coding RNA NONBTAT019191". Lineage: Eukaryota; Metazoa; Chordata; Mammalia; Artiodactyla; Bovidae. The record is from RNAcentral.
UCCAGCUUUAAGUAGAUGCCAAGGGAUGACACCGACUUGGAACAUCAGCCCGUAAACUAUAAACCGAAAUGUAGAAGUAAUUGAUACAUCUCAAUAAAACUCUGAAAUUUAUGGCCCUGCUUUUCUUUUUGCCGUAUAUCAGGGUCCUCAAUAUAUUAAGCGGCUAAAAUGGUGCUUUAAGACUACCUUUCAAUGGCUAAAGAAUAAUUAAAGUUUUUAUGUAAUCUGCAUGUUUCCUUAGAUAUCACUGUUAUCACUUCUUAGGCCAUUUAUCAAAGCCCUGACAGUUUCAAGGAUAAAAGAAGCUUACCUGCCACAGAUUUCUAGAAAGCAGCAACAUUCUUUGAAAUGUUUAUAAAUGGAAAAGUCAUCUUUCUUUGAAUUAGCUCUGAGGUAAAAGCCAAGUUAUACCCAGACUGGAGAGUUACUUUUCCUUUCAAGUCGUCUUUGCAUGCAGCAACCACACUGCCCCGAACACAUGUGCAGCCUGAGCUCCUGAGCAUAGGUGAGAAGCCUUCCGCUGGUUUUUAUGUUCACAUAUGUCUCUCUCUCCUGAU